GCGAGAGUGGCGGAACUGGCAGACGCGCGAGACUUAGGAUCUCGUGGGCAUAACCGUGGGGGUUCGAGUCCCCCCUCUCGCACCA
Molecule: transfer RNA, 85 nt
Filed under: Nitrospirota bacterium
Lineage: Bacteria; Pseudomonadati; Nitrospirota
Also listed under: 1 other name
Description: Nitrospirae bacterium tRNA-Leu
Rfam family: tRNA
About the family: Transfer RNA (tRNA) molecules are approximately 80 nucleotides in length. Their secondary structure includes four short double-helical elements and three loops (D, anti-codon, and T loops).
Source: RNAcentral